GUAGCCUAGGGGCGCAGCAGUGGGGAAUAUUGCGCAAUGGGGGGAACCCUGAUGCAGCGACGCCGCGUGGGUGAAGGAGUAUUUCGGUAUGUAAAGCCCUAUCAGCAGGGAAGAACAAUGACGGUACCUGACUAAGAAGCACCGGCUAAAUACGUGCCAGCAGCCGCGGUAAUACGUAUGGUGCAAGCGUUAUCCGGAUUUACUGGGUGUAAAGGGAGCGCAGGCGGCGCGUUAAGCCUGGUGUGAAGGCCCGCGGCCCAACCGCGGGACUGCAUUGGGAACUGGCGCGCUGGAGUGCCGGAGGG
RNAcentral lists this ribosomal RNA (305 nucleotides) under uncultured bacterium. RNAcentral's name for it is "bacterial SSU rRNA". It matches the Rfam family "Bacterial small subunit ribosomal RNA", at positions 334 to 656 of the family's 1533-position model. The record is from RNAcentral.